CACGUAGGGCGCAAGCGUUGUUCGGAAUUACUGGGCGUAAAGGGCGCGUAGGCGGCUUUGUAAGUCAGAUGUGAAAGCCCCGGGCUCAACCUGGGAACUGCAUUUGAUACUGCAAGGCUAGAGAUCGAGAGAGGAAAGUGGAAUUACGAGUGUAGAAGUGAAAUUCGUAGAUAUUCGUAGGAACACCAGUGGCGAAGGCGACUUUCUGGCUCGAUACUGACGCUAAAGCGCGAAAGCGUGGGGAGCAAACAGG
This 253-nucleotide ribosomal RNA is filed under the name uncultured bacterium. RNAcentral's name for it is "partial 16S ribosomal RNA". It matches the Rfam family "Bacterial small subunit ribosomal RNA", at positions 524 to 776 of the family's 1533-position model. The record is from RNAcentral.